Molecule: long non-coding RNA, 2340 nt
Organism: Salvelinus fontinalis (brook trout)
Lineage: Eukaryota; Metazoa; Chordata; Actinopteri; Salmoniformes; Salmonidae
Exons: 2
Source: RefSeq, a predicted model, not a curated record
UUUUUUUUUUAGGACUAGACCCCAGCUAUAUUUAACUCCUAAGUUAUUUGGUUCAAACAAAGGGAUUGGUGUGGCUAAACAUUAGGUACCUUUUGAUAUUCUAAAAUCUCCGGGGGGCUGGCAUCUAGAUGCUGGGGUGGGGAGGUCUCGACAUCGCUGGGCUGAUUGACUUUUUAAAACCCUACAGCAUCUGUUUUAGACCCUAAAACAUAAAUUAUGUUUUGACAUGUUGUUAAUGAUUCGUAAGUGGCCGUAAGACAAAGACACACUUUUUUGUUUGGGGGUCGGCCUCUGUUUUGACGUAUAUUGUAAAGAGAGAGAGAGAGAGAGCCUUGAGCGCAGACGCCUGGCCAUUUCUGAACACACACCCCGCCCCGUUUUCUUUGUUUUGAAACACACACAUACGCAUACACUCCAGCACACGCACGCACACACGCGCGCACAUGGCUUUUUCUGCAAGUUUUUUUUCUCCGGGGGCAUGCUUGGUGAUAGAAGUUAAGGACUUAUUCCUAUCGUUAGAAGAUAUAGGUCCUGGUUAGCCCCUGACCAUUAUCCGAUCGCUAAGACGCUUGCACACUCCCUCAAAGCUCCGUAAGUUUUCCCUCCAUGGGUAGAUAAUCCGUCCGUCAUGUAAAUCCUGGGGUAUGCACCCAGCUUUAAUGAAUAAGAUGGGUAGAAAAUGAAUCUGUUUAAGUCAUAAGUAAAGGCCUUUCAUAAAGAGGCUGUCAUGAUUGACUGUGGCCCAUAUUUAACACGUAUUGCAUGUUACCUAAGACUAUUGUUGUACAUUGAAUAUCCACUAGCAGAUUUGUGUAGCAUGCAUCUCCACUAUAUCGGUCAUGUUCCUGUGGUCUUUUUAAAAGUUAAUAAACCUGUGUGUAAAAUGUACACUUUUGUUUCACUGUAGAUUUGUUUAAGCCCACCUAGAAACACCUGAUUUAUCCCACAGCAUUAAGGAAUAAGCUGUGUAUAAAAAUAUUCUGUUUAAGUCCUAAGUAAAGGCCUUUCCUAAAGAGGCUGUCAUGAUUGACUGUGGCCCAUAUUUAACACGUAUUGCUUGUUACAGAAGACCCCUGUUGUACAUUGAAUAUCCAAUAGCCGAUUUUUGGAGCAUCUCCACUAUAUCUGUCAUGUUACUGUGGUCUUUUUAAAAGUCAAUAAACAUGUGUGUAAAAUGUACACUUUUGUUUCACUGUAGAUUGUUUAAGCCCCCCUAGAAACACCUGAUUUAUCCCACAGCAUCAAUGAAUAAGCUGCGUAUAAAAUUAUUCUGUUUAAGUCAUAAGUAAAGGCCUUUCAUAAAGAGGCUGUCAUGAUUGACUGUGGCCCAUAUUUAACACGUAUUGCUUGUUACAGAAGACCCCUGUUGUACAUUGAAUAUCCAAUAGCCGAUUUUUGGAGCAUCUCCACUAUAUCUGUCAUGUUACUGUGGUCUUUUUAAAAGUCAAUAAACAUGUGUGUAAAAUGUACACUUUUGUUUCACUGUAGAUUUGUUUAAGCCCACCUAGAAACACCUGAUUUAUCCCACAGCAUUAAGGAAUAAGCUGUGUAUAAAAAUAUUCUGUUUAAGUCCUAAGUAAAGGCCUUUCCUAAAGAGGCUGUCAUGAUUGACUGUGGCCCAUAUUUAACACGUAUUGCUUGUUACAGAAGACCCCUGUUGUACAUUGAAUAUCCAAUAGCCGAUUUUUGGAGCAUCUCCACUAUAUCUGUCAUGUUACUGUGGUCUUUUUAAAAGUCAAUAAACAUGUGUGUAAAAUGUACACUUUUGUUUCACUGUAGAUUGUUUAAGCCCCCCUAGAAACACCUGAUUUAUCCCACAGCAUCAAUGAAUAAGCUGCGUAUAAAAUUAUUCUGUUUAAGUCAUAAGUAAAGGCCUUUCAUAAAGAGGCUGUCAUGAUUGACUGUGGCCCAUAUUUAACACGUAUUGCUUGUUACAGAAGACCCCUGUUGUACAUUGAAUAUCCAAUAGCCGAUUUUUGGAGCAUCUCCACUAUAUCUGUCAUGUUACUGUGGUCUUUUUAAAAGUCAAUAAACAUGUGUGUAAAAUGUACACUUUUGUUUCACUGUAGAUUGUUUAAGCCCACCUAGAAACACCUGAUUUAUCCCACAGCAUCAAUGAAUAAGCUGCGUAUAAAAUUAUUCUGUUUAAGUCAUAAGUAAAGGCCUUUCAUAAAGAGGCUGUCAUGAUUGACUGUGGCCCAUAUUUAACACGUAUUGCUUGUUACAGAAGACCCCUGUUGUACAUUGAAUAUCCAAUAGCCGAUUUUUGGAGCAUCUCCACUAUAUCUGUCAUGUUACUGUGGUCUUUUUAAAAGUCAAUAAACAUGUGUGUAAAAUGUA